This 493-nucleotide ribosomal RNA is filed under the name uncultured bacterium. RNAcentral describes it as "partial 16S ribosomal RNA". It matches the Rfam family "Bacterial small subunit ribosomal RNA", at positions 30 to 523 of the family's 1533-position model. The record is from RNAcentral.
AUUGAACGCUGGCGGCAUGCUUUACACAUGCAAGUCGAACGGUAACAGGUUAAGCUGACGAGUGGCGAACGGGUGAGUAAUGCAUCGGAACGUGCCCGAUCGUGGGGGAUAACGCAGCGAAAGCUGCGCUAAUACCGCAUACGAUCUGAGGAUGAAAGCGGGGGACCGUAAGGCCUCGCGCGAUCGGAGCGGCCGAUGUCAGAUUAGGUAGUUGUUGGGGUAAAGGCCCACCAAGCCGACGAUCUGUAGCUGGUCUGAGAGGACGACCAGCCGCACUGGGAGUGGGACACGGCCCAGACUCCUACGGGGGGCAGCAGUGGGGAAUUUUGGACAAUGGGCGAAAGCCUGAUCCAGCAAUGCCGCGUGCAGGAAGAAGGCCUUCGGGUUGUAAACUGCUUUUGUACGGAGCGAAAAGGUCCUUUCUAAUACAAGGGGCUCAUGACGGUACCGUAAGAAUAAGCACCGGCUAACUACGUGCCAGCCGCCGCCGUAA